This 261-nucleotide ribosomal RNA is filed under the name uncultured archaeon. RNAcentral describes it as "partial 16S ribosomal RNA". It matches the Rfam family "Archaeal small subunit ribosomal RNA", at positions 748 to 1009 of the family's 1478-position model. The record is from RNAcentral.
UAGCCGUAAACGAUACUCGCUAGGUGUCGGCCACGGUGCGACCGUUGUCGGUGCCGUAGGGAAGCCGUGAAGCGAGCCACCUGGGAAGUACGGCCGCGAGGCUGAAACUUAAAGGAAUUGGCGGGGGAGCACAACAACGGGUGGAGCUUGCGGUUUAAUUGGAUUCAACGCCGGAAAUCUUACCGGGACCGACAGCAACAUGAAGGCCAAGCUGAAGACUUUGCCGGAUUAGCUGAGAGGAGGUGCAUGGCGUAGUCGUGU